CUUUAAUAGCUUAUUUAUAGAGCAUGAUAUUGAAGAUAUCAAGGAGAUUAUUAUUAAUCUUGAGGUAU
This 68-nucleotide transfer RNA is filed under the name Elateridae sp. 3 ACP-2013. RNAcentral's name for it is "tRNA-Phe". Lineage: Eukaryota; Metazoa; Arthropoda; Insecta; Coleoptera; Elateridae. The record is from RNAcentral.